UAUGUUGUAGACUAAUCGGUAAGUCAUAAAUUUUUGGUAUUUAGCUAUGAGUGUUCGAAUCACUUCAACAUAA
Transfer RNA from Pseudocercospora musae, 73 nucleotides. It matches the Rfam family "tRNA". Rfam says of the family: Transfer RNA (tRNA) molecules are approximately 80 nucleotides in length. Their secondary structure includes four short double-helical elements and three loops (D, anti-codon, and T loops). Lineage: Eukaryota; Fungi; Ascomycota; Dothideomycetes; Mycosphaerellales; Mycosphaerellaceae. The record is from Rfam.